RNAcentral lists this transfer RNA (71 nucleotides) under bacterium 336/3. It matches the Rfam family "tRNA". From Rfam's summary of the family: Transfer RNA (tRNA) molecules are approximately 80 nucleotides in length. Their secondary structure includes four short double-helical elements and three loops (D, anti-codon, and T loops). Further hydrogen bonds mediate the characteristic L-shaped molecular structure. tRNAs have two regions of fundamental functional importance: the anti-codon, which is responsible for specific mRNA codon recognition, and the 3' end, to which the tRNAs corresponding amino acid is attached (by aminoacyl-tRNA synthetases). tRNAs cope with the degeneracy of the genetic code in two manners: having more than one tRNA (with a specific anti-codon) for a particular amino acid; and 'wobble' base-pairing, i.e. permitting non-standard base-pairing at the 3rd anti-codon position. The record is from Rfam by way of RNAcentral. Lineage: Bacteria; Pseudomonadati.
ACAGAGUUGGUCUAAUGGCAAGACGUUUGUCUCCAAAACAAAUCACGGAGGUUCGAUUCCUUCACUCUGUG